CCAUCAGUUUUUCCUUUUUUUAAUCAAUAAUUUUAACGGCCAUGGUGAAUCGUUUGCAAGUUUAACGGUACAGAAAUAUCCAAAUCAUAUGAAAUUUUGAUAGAAAAUUCUUUAUACCAUAUAAAACAAGAUCAAUAACUUUGAUCUAAAAUUUUAAUGUCAUAUCAUCAUAUUUUGUAAGAUUUUUAUUUUCAGCCGUUGAUUUUGAGCCACUUCGAUCACUAGGCAAAUGAUAAUUCGGAAAAUCGCAAAAUUUAUUUUCUAGAUUUUCAAAUACUCUAAAUCAAG
This 288-nucleotide long non-coding RNA is filed under the name Ananas comosus (pineapple). Its description in RNAcentral is "long non-coding RNA (ACOM_LNC025647)". The record is from RNAcentral. Lineage: Eukaryota; Viridiplantae; Streptophyta; Magnoliopsida; Poales; Bromeliaceae.